GCAGGGAGAAGAAGAAGAAAAAAAAAACAAGUUAAAGUACCUCGGAGAUGCCAAGGGAAAUGUCAUAAAUGUCAGCUUCCAGAUUCCAGAACCGUGAGACAAAAACAUGUCUGUUGUCUGGGCCACCCAGUUUGUGGAGCGGGUUAUGGCGGCUCUAGCGAGCAACUCCAGGAAAACCCAGGAAACAGCCUACGUGCCCAUCAACCCCCCCACCACCAUGGAUUGGCUGGAAUAAACUUGGAUACAUCCGCAUUGUCGAGUUCUGUGCCCUCGUUUUUGGUUUUGUUUUUAAAGAGAAAGACACGAAUGUGCUCACAUAUCGAGCCCCAGCCGCCGCGGACCUCAGCAACCAGACAAAUGUCUCGAGGGCCUUUCAGGGCUGAUGGCUCUGCCCUGUACCUUGGUCCUCUCUUUCCAUUUAUCAGAACCCCCAGGACCGUGUGCUAAAAAGGGCGAAUUUCCCUGAUAUAGGUGUCUGUGUUAUAAUUAUACAUUUGCAUAUGGAUUAUACCUCAAAAUGCCUGACUUUAAAAAAAAACAGCAAUGAUUCUGUGGAAGAGCUUUUGGGUUUUAUUUGCUGGAGGAGGGAAGAACGGGAAGGCAGGGAGGGCAGGUGCAGGAAGGCAGGCUCCCAAGGCUUAGGUGUGGGCCCUGAAUGUGCAAAUCUCAUCUCGUGCCACAGUCUGCAUGUGAGAAGGGGCAGGGAGGACAUCCCAAGGUGAGGGCACUGCCUGGCUUGGGCUGAGGCUUGGAGGUGGGUCCUGGGGCAGGUGUAUCUACCACGAGGCUGGAGUGCAGGGAACGUGAAGGCGAGCGGUGGGGGGCGGGGGGCAGGAGGUGAUCUGAAACCAGAUUGGGACUCUCAGCACUUACAGUUUCUAUCCUGUCACCAGGCUGUUAACAUAUACAGCCUGUCAUAUAUUCGUUAAUUAUACACCUGCCUUAUCUGCUUUCCCAGCCUGCGUUCCGUUCAGGUGGGCAGAUGAUUCCGGAGGCCUGAGAGACACUGGAGGCUAUGCUGGGAUCCAAGGAAGGCAAGGUGACCCAAUUCAGGUCUGUGCCAUCGAGGAGCUCCCAGGCCGGUGGGAGAGACCAGCAGGUGAGCAGCCAAUGCCCGCACCUGGGGGAAGAGGCUGCCCAUGAGGGGCCA
Molecule: long non-coding RNA, 1150 nt
Filed under: Mustela putorius furo (domestic ferret)
Lineage: Eukaryota; Metazoa; Chordata; Mammalia; Carnivora; Mustelidae
Description: lncRNA (ENSMPUG00000028642.1)
Source: RNAcentral